CCUACGGGGGGCUGCAGUGGGGAAUAUUGGACAAUGGGGGGAACCCUGAUCCAGCCAUGCCGCGUGUGUGAAGAAGGCCCUCGGGUUGUAAAGCACUUUCAGUGAGGAAGAACGCCUGGUGGUUAAUACCCAUCAGGAAAGACAUCACUCACAGAAGAAGCACCGGCUAACUCCGUGCCAGCAGCCGCGGUAAUACGGAGGGUGCGAGCGUUAAUCGGAAUUACUGGGCGUAAAGCGCGCGUAGGCGGCUUGAUAAGCCGGUUGUGAAAGCCCCGGGCUCAACCUGGGAACGGCAUCCGGAACUGUCAAGCUAGAGUGCAGGAGAGGAAGGUAGAAUUCCCGGUGUAGCGGUGAAAUGCGUAGAGAUCGGGAGGAAUACCAGUGGCGAAGGCGGCCUUCUGGACUGACACUGACACUGAGGUGCGAAAGCGUGGGUAGCAAACAGGAUUAGAUACCCGAGUAGUC
Molecule: ribosomal RNA, 465 nt
Filed under: Vreelandella stevensii
Lineage: Bacteria; Pseudomonadati; Pseudomonadota; Gammaproteobacteria; Oceanospirillales; Halomonadaceae
Description: partial 16S ribosomal RNA
Rfam family: Bacterial small subunit ribosomal RNA
Source: RNAcentral